Molecule: ribosomal RNA, 465 nt
Filed under: uncultured bacterium
Lineage: Bacteria
Description: partial 16S ribosomal RNA
Rfam family: Bacterial small subunit ribosomal RNA
Source: RNAcentral
GACGAACGCUGGCGGCGUGCUUAACACAUGCAAGUCGAACGGAAAGGCCCUGCUUGCAGGGUACUCGAGUGGCGAACGGGUGAGUAACACGUGGGUGUUCUGCCCUGCACUUCGGGAUAAGCCUUCGGAACUGGGUCUAAUACCGGAGAGGAGCCAUUUUUAGUGUGGUAGUUGGAAAGAUUUUUCGGUGUAGGAUGAGCUCGCGGGCUAUCAGCUUGCUGGUUGGGUAAUGGCCUACCUAGGCGGCGACGGGUAGCCGGCCUGAGAGGGUGGACGGCCACAAUGGGACUGAGAUACGGCCCAGACUCCUACGGGAGGCAACAGUGGGGAAUAUUGCACAAUGGGCGGAAGCCUGAUGCAGGGACGGCGCGUGGGGGAUGACGGGCUUCGGGUUGUAAACUCCUUUCGCUAGGGACGAAGCUGUUUGUGACGGUAACUAGAUAAGAAGCACCGGCUAACUACGUG